Molecule: non-coding RNA, 76 nt
Organism: Coemansia sp. RSA 2531
Lineage: Eukaryota; Fungi; Kickxellomycota; Kickxellomycetes; Kickxellales; Kickxellaceae
Source: the annotation of a GenBank genome assembly
GGCCUUGUAGCUCAGCGGAUCUUAGAGCGCUCGUUUCCGAUGCGAGAAGUCCCAGGUUCGAACCCUGGCUGGGUCA